UACAGAGGGGGCAAGCGUUGUUCGGAAUUACUGGGCGUAAAGGGCGCGUAGGCGGCCCGCUAAGUCGAACGUGAAAUCCCCGGGCUCAACCCGGGAACUGCGUCCGAUACUGGUGGGCUUGAAUCCGGGAGAGGGAUGCGGAAUUCCAGGUGUAGCGGUGAAAUGCGUAGAUAUCUGGAGGAACACCGGUAGCGAAGGCGGCAUCCUGGACCGGUAUUGACGCUGAGGCGCGAAAGCCAGGGGAGCAAACGGG
This 253-nucleotide ribosomal RNA is filed under the name uncultured bacterium. RNAcentral describes it as "partial 16S ribosomal RNA". It matches the Rfam family "Bacterial small subunit ribosomal RNA", at positions 524 to 776 of the family's 1533-position model. The record is from RNAcentral.